RNAcentral lists this ribosomal RNA (439 nucleotides) under uncultured Afipia sp. RNAcentral's name for it is "bacterial SSU rRNA". It matches the Rfam family "Bacterial small subunit ribosomal RNA", at positions 8 to 492 of the family's 1533-position model. Lineage: Bacteria; Pseudomonadati; Pseudomonadota; Alphaproteobacteria; Hyphomicrobiales; Nitrobacteraceae. The record is from RNAcentral.
AGAGUUUGAUCAUGGCUCAGAGCGAACGCUGGCGGCAGGCUUAACACAUGCAAGUCGAGCGGGCGUAGCAAUACGUCAGCGGCAGACGGGUGAGUAACGCGUGGGAACGUACCUUUUGGUUCGGAACAACACAGGGAAACUUGUGCUAAUACCGAAUAAGCCCUUACGGGGAAAGAUUUAUCGCCGAAAGAUCGGCCCGCGUCUGAUUAGCUAGUUGGUGAGGUAAUGGCUCACCAAGGCGACGAUCAGUAGCUGGUCUGAGAGGAUGAUCAGCCACAUUGGGACUGAGACACGGCCCAAACUCCUACGGGAGGCAGCAGUGGGGAAUAUUGGACAAUGGGCGCAAGCCUGAUCCAGCCAUGCCGCGUGAGUGAUGAAGGCCCUAGGGUUGUAAAGCUCUUUUGUGCGGGAAGAUAAUGACGGUACCGCAAGAAUAGCC